UUUAGUCGCGCAGUAUAGGUGGGAGGCGUUGAAAAUAUUCUUGCGGGAAUAUUGGAGCCAUCAGUGAGAUACCACUCUUCUAAUGUUAGAUUUCUAACUCUGUAUCAUUAUCUGGUCAGAGAACAGUUUCAGGCGGGCAGUUUGACUGGGGCGGUCGCCUCCCAAAUGGUAACGGAGGCGUACAAAGGUUUCCUCUGAACGUGUAGAAAUCGUAUCUAGAGUGUAAAGGCAUAAGGAAGCUUGACUGUGAGACUUACAAGUCGAGCAGGGACGAAAGUCGGUCUUAGUGAUCUGACGGUACUGAGUGGAAAGGCCGUCACUCAACGGAUAAAAGUUACUCUAGGGAUAACAGGCUGA
This 357-nucleotide ribosomal RNA is filed under the name uncultured eukaryote. RNAcentral describes it as "LSU rRNA". It matches the Rfam family "Bacterial large subunit ribosomal RNA", at positions 2129 to 2485 of the family's 2925-position model. The record is from RNAcentral.